UCCGGUUUGGCACCGGCAGUAUCAUCAGAGUUCCCACCAUUACGUGUUGGCAACUGAUAAAAGGGGUUGCGCUCGUUGCGGGACUUAACCCAACAUCUCACGACACGAACUGACGACAGCCAUGCAGCACCUGUGUCCCUCCCACCCGAAGUGAAGAACUAGAUCUCUCUAGCUCAUAGAGGGCAUGUCAAGGCCUGGUAAGGUUCUUCGCGUUGCGACGAAUUAAACCACAUACUCCACCGCUUGUGCGGGUCCCCGUCAAUUCCUUUGAGUUUUAACCUUGCGGCCGUACUUCCCAGGCGGUGUGCUUAACGCGUUAGCUGCGUCACCGAAGAGUGAACUCCCCAGCGACAAGCACACAUCGUUUACGGCGUGGACUAC
RNAcentral lists this unclassified non-coding RNA (381 nucleotides) under uncultured Rhodospirillales bacterium. RNAcentral's name for it is "contains 16S-23S intergenic spacer region". Lineage: Bacteria; Pseudomonadati; Pseudomonadota; Alphaproteobacteria; Rhodospirillales. The record is from RNAcentral.